UGAACGCUGGCGGCGUGCCUACUACAUGCACGUCGAGCGAACAGACGAGGAGCUUGCUCCUCUGACGUUAGCGGCGGACGGGUGAGUAACACGUGGAUAACCUACCUAUAAGACUGGGAUAACUUCGGGAAACCGGAGCUAAUACCGGAUAAUAUAUUGAACCGCAUGGUUCACUAGUGAAAGACGGUUUUGCUGUCACUUAUAGAUGGAUCCGCGCCGCAUUAGCUAGUUGGUAAGGUAACGGCUUACCAAGGCAACGACGCGUAGCCGACCUGAGAGGGUGAUCGGCCACACUGGAACUGAGACACGGUCCAGACUCCUACGGGAGGCAGCAGUAGGGAAUCUUCCGCAAUGGGCGAAAGCUUGACGGAGCAACGCCGCGUGAGUGAUGAAGGUCUUCGGAUCGUAAAACUCUGUUAUUAGGGAAGAACAAAUGUGUAAGUAACUAUGCACGUCUUGACGGUACCUAAUCAGAAAGCCACGGCUAACUACGUG
RNAcentral lists this ribosomal RNA (495 nucleotides) under uncultured bacterium. RNAcentral's name for it is "partial 16S ribosomal RNA". It matches the Rfam family "Bacterial small subunit ribosomal RNA", at positions 30 to 507 of the family's 1533-position model. The record is from RNAcentral.